This 434-nucleotide ribosomal RNA is filed under the name uncultured bacterium. RNAcentral describes it as "bacterial SSU rRNA". It matches the Rfam family "Bacterial small subunit ribosomal RNA", at positions 954 to 1396 of the family's 1533-position model. The record is from RNAcentral.
GAUUAACGCGAAGAACCUUACCUACCCUUGACAUGGUCGGAAUCCUGCUGAGAGGUGGGAGUGCUCGAAAGAGAACCGGCGCACAGGUGCUGCAUGGCUGUCGUCAGCUCGUGUCGUGAGAUGUUGGGUUAAGUCCCGCAACGAGCGCAACCCUUGUCCUUAGUUGCUACGCAAGAGCACUCUAAGGAGACUGCCGGUGACAAACCGGAGGAAGGUGGGGAUGACGUCAAGUCCUCAUGGCCCUUAUGGGUAGGGCUUCACACGUCAUACAAUGGUCGGAACAGAGGGUUGCCAACCCGCGAGGGGGAGCUAAUCCCAGAAAACCGAUCGUAGUCCGGAUUGCACUCUGCAACUCGAGUGCAUGAAGCUGGAAUCGCUAGUAAUCGCGGAUCAGCAUGCCGCGGUGAAUACGUUCCCGUUGUACACACCGAAUC